Molecule: long non-coding RNA, 685 nt
Organism: Osmerus eperlanus (European smelt)
Lineage: Eukaryota; Metazoa; Chordata; Actinopteri; Osmeriformes; Osmeridae
Exons: 4
Source: RefSeq, a predicted model, not a curated record
AGAGAAAUACAGAAAAAGAUAUAUGAAACUGUACAAGAUAGAAUCAGAAUCAGAAGGGGUUUUAAUCGCCAUGAAAGUUUGCACAGACAAGGAAUUUACUUUGGCAGGCAAGGAAUUUACCCAUAGAUACACAUAUUUCAAAUAUAUUGGUCUCACUCACUUCAGUAUAAUAUAAUAUCUACAGUUUGUACAGUGACCACGUUCAUUGCAUGAGACAUGUAUAAAUGCUAGUCACUGCAUAGUUUAGUUGUUUAAGAUUUGUCAAAUCUGUCUAUUUAUGACACAACAGCUGAUUGCGAAGCUUGCUGCUGAUUAGGUGGACUAAUUCCACUAGACACACCAUUGUAAUACAGGAAGUACUGUUGUUGUAAUGGAUGCAUUUGGCUUUAUACUUCCUCUUUAGGGGCCCACUGUUCCGGCUCAUUCUAAAGAUGCAAUCCAGGGAAGGAAGAGAAGCCGGCCUAUAAAAAGUGGUUCAACCAUCCCCCCCAAAAAGAAAGUUUGCCGUGUACAUGCAAAGAAUAAGGUGUUUCUCUUCCAAGAAGUAGUAGGCAAGAGGAAAAAUGAGGACAGGGAAGAAGUCCUUGUGCGGUGGCAACCUUGUUAUGGUUGCGGCGAACAAUGGGAUGACACCUGGGAGCCUUCAGCCAAUUUUCCAAAAGUGAUUAAUAAAGAUAAAAUGUGC